Molecule: ribosomal RNA, 524 nt
Filed under: uncultured bacterium
Lineage: Bacteria
Description: bacterial SSU rRNA
Rfam family: Bacterial small subunit ribosomal RNA
Source: RNAcentral
AAUAGAUACCCUGGUAGUCCACGCCGUAAACGAUGAGUGCUAAGUGUUAGAGGGUUUCCGCCCUUUAGUGCUGAAGUUAACGCAUUAAGCACUCCGCCUGGGGAGUACGGCCGCAAGGCUGAAACUCAAAGGAAUUGACGGGGGCCCGCACAAGCGGUGGAGCAUGUGGUUUAAUUCGAAGCAACGCGAAGAACCUUACCAGGUCUUGACAUCCUCUGACAACCCUAGAGAUAGGGCUUCUCCUUCGGGAGCAGAGUGACAGGUGGUGCAUGGUUGUCGUCAGCUCGUGUCGUGAGAUGUUGGGUUAAGUCCCGCAACGAGCGCAACCCUUGAUCUUAGUUGCCAUCAUUCAGUUGGGCACUCUAAGGUGACUGCCGGUGACAAACCGGAGGAAGGUGGGGAUGACGUCAAAUCAUCAUGCCCCUUAUGACCUGGGCUACACACGUGCUACAAUGAACAGUACAAAGAGCUGCAAGACCGCGAGGUGGAGCUAAUCUCAUAAAACCGUUCUCAGUUCGGAUUGU